GACGAACGCUGGCGGCGUGCUUAACACAUGCAAGUCGAACGGAAAGGCCCUGCUUUUGUGGGGUGCUCGAGUGGCGAACGGGUGAGUAACACGUGAGUAACCUGCCCUUGACUUUGGGAUAACUUCAGGAAACUGGGGCUAAUACCAGAUAGGAGCUCCUGCUGCAUGGUGGGGGUUGGAAAGUUUCGGCGGCUGGGGAUGGACUCGCGGCUUAUCAGCUUGUUGGUGGGGUAGUGGCUUACCAAGGCUUUGACGGGUAGCCGGCCUGAGAGGGUGACCGGCCACAUUGGGACUGAGAUACGGCCCAGACUCCUACGGGAGGCAGCAGUGGGGAAUAUUGCACAAUGGGCGGAAGCCUGAUGCAGCAACGCCGCGUGCGGGAUGACGGCCUUCGGGUUGUAAACCGCUUUCGCCUGUGACGAAGCGUGAGUGACGGUAAUGGGUAAAGAAGCACCGGCUAACUACGUG
Molecule: ribosomal RNA, 468 nt
Filed under: uncultured bacterium
Lineage: Bacteria
Description: partial 16S ribosomal RNA
Rfam family: Bacterial small subunit ribosomal RNA
Source: RNAcentral